RNAcentral lists this transfer RNA (77 nucleotides) under Halobacteriovoraceae bacterium. Its description in RNAcentral is "tRNA-Asn". It matches the Rfam family "tRNA". Rfam says of the family: Transfer RNA (tRNA) molecules are approximately 80 nucleotides in length. Their secondary structure includes four short double-helical elements and three loops (D, anti-codon, and T loops). Lineage: Bacteria; Pseudomonadati; Bdellovibrionota; Bacteriovoracia; Bacteriovoracales; Halobacteriovoraceae. The record is from RNAcentral.
UGGGGUGUAGCUCAGUUGGUUAGAGCAACGGACUGUUAAUCCGUGUGUCGAGAGUUCGAGUCUCUCCUCCCCAGCCA